Molecule: unclassified non-coding RNA, 396 nt
Filed under: Hevea brasiliensis (rubber tree)
Lineage: Eukaryota; Viridiplantae; Streptophyta; Magnoliopsida; Malpighiales; Euphorbiaceae
Source: RNAcentral
GCCCUUGCCACCGCCAGCGUAGAAACCAAAAGCCAAAUAGCCGCAAACAGUCUUCCAGGCGGAGUCUUAAAUGCCCUAUCACCAUACCCAACUGUAGUAACAGACAUAACUGCCAAAUAUAUCGAAUCAAUCCAAUCCAGAUCCUCAACAAAGUACAGAACCAACAUACCCAUUCCGAUACACAAAAUCACGACGCCAAGUGCCAAUCCAACCUUCAAUCGUAUCCUCAUCCUCCCCUUUUCGACAUCGAUAAUGCAAUUCCUAGCUGAAAAUGCUUGCUGGGCUUUACCCAUUUGAAUCCCAGCCAAGAUCAUACUCUCUUGCAAAUCAAGAACAUAGUUAACAACCCCACUAAGUGAUAUGUCUAUGAAUCCAAAACCAACCAAUACAAACAUG